Long non-coding RNA from Alosa alosa (allis shad), 1028 nucleotides. RefSeq lists it as uncharacterized. NCBI's taxonomy places the organism in Eukaryota, Metazoa, Chordata, Actinopteri, Clupeiformes, Clupeidae. The record is from RefSeq and is a predicted model, not a curated record. The transcript has 3 exons.
GCAUGACGUCACAUCACAGGUACGCCUCUAGACAUCACAGGUACGCCUCUAGACAUCACAGGUACGCCUCUAGACAUGACGUCACAUCACAGGUACGCCUCUAGACAUCACAGGUACGCCUCUAGGCAUGACGUCACAUCACAGGUACGCCUCUAGACAUGACGUCACAUCACAGGUACGCCUCUAGACAUCACAGGUACGCCUCUAGGCAUGACGUCACAUCACAGGUGCGUCACAUCACAGGUACGCCUCUAGGCAUGACGUCACAUCACAGGUACGCCUCUAGACAUGACGUCACAUCACAGGUACGCCUCUAGACAUCACAGGUACGCCUCUAGGCAUGACGUCACAUCACAGGUACGUCACAUCACAGGUACGCCUCUAGGCAUGACGUCACAUCACAGGUACGCCUCUAGACAUCACAGGUACGCCUCUAGGCAUGACGUCACAUCACAGGUACGUCACAUCACAGGUACGCCUCUAGGCAUGACGUCACAUCACAGGUACGCCUCUAGACAUCACAGGUACGCCUCUAGGCAUGACGUCACAUCACAGGUACGUCACAUCACAGGUACGCCUCUAGACAUCACAGGUACGCCUCUAGACAUGACGUCACAUCACAGGUACGCCUCUAGGCAUCACAGGUACGCCUCUAGACAUGACGUCACAUCACAGGUACGCCUCUAGACAUGACGUCACAUCACAGGUACGUCACAUCACAGGUACGCCUCUAGGCAUGACGUCACAUCACAGGUACGCCUCUAGACAUCACAGGUACGCCUCUAGACAUCACAGGUACGCCUCUAGACAUGACGUCACAUCACAGGUACGCCUCUAGACAUGACGUCACAUCACAGGUACGCCUCUAGACAUCACAGGUACGCCUCUAGGCAUGACGUCACAUCACAGGUACGCCUCUAGACAUGACGUCACAUCACAGGUACGCCUCUAGACAUCACAGGUACGCCUCUAGACAUGACGUCACAUCACAGGUACGCCUCUAGACAUGACGUCACAUCACAGGUACG